This 1398-nucleotide unclassified non-coding RNA is filed under the name Hevea brasiliensis (rubber tree). Lineage: Eukaryota; Viridiplantae; Streptophyta; Magnoliopsida; Malpighiales; Euphorbiaceae. The record is from RNAcentral.
GCUAAAAUUAGGCCAAAUAUAUAUUCACAAUAAAUGGUCCAGCAUGCGUGAACUUGAGGACGAUAAAAGCCUACAACCCUCUUCUUCCAUUCCCCAUUAAUUCGUCUCUCUGAAUUAUCUCUUUUGCUUUCUCUUAAUUUCUUUCUCUCCCAUGGAAACCAUCCCAAAACCUAGCAAAGAAACCAAGGAAGACUCCAUUGAUGAUAUCGAGAAUGAACUCCUAUUGCCUGGCCUCCCCAACCACCUUGCCCAGAUCUGCCUUUCUUUUCUUUCUCCUGCCCUUCUUUUCUCCGUUUGCCACGCAUGGCGGCGACUCCUUUACUCUCACUCUUUCCCUCCCUUCUUUUCCCUUUACGUCCUCGUCUCUCCACCACCAAGUAGAAAAGUCGACCAAGUUGAUGCAAUCAAUUCGAUUGAGUUUUUGUCACUAGACCCCUUUUCUUCAAAAUGGCAAUCACUCCCUAGUCCUCUAAAAGACCCCCCACUUCACCUCCUCCAUCGACAUCCUUCUUUCUUGUCAAGAAACCUUCCAAUCCAAUCUCUAACAGUCUCAAAUCAUCUUGUACUUAUGGCUGGCACCACUUGCCGUUUUGUCCCUGCACUUUCUAUGCCAUUACUCUUCCACCCAGAAUCCAACUACUGGUUCUUUGGUCCUCCAUUUAGCAUCCCACGCCGCUGGUGCGCCACCGGCUCUGUUGGUGGCACAAUUUACUUAGCAAGCGGGGUUGCAUCGCACUACAGUGGAGAUGUGGCUAGGUCAAUGGAAAGAUGGGACACCAAACAAAAGAAAGAAAAUUGGAGAUGGGAAAAAAUGGCACCACUAAAAGAUGGUAGAUUCAGUAGGGAAGCGAUAGAGGCAGUAGGCUGUAAAGGGAAGCUUUACAUGGUUAACGUUAAAGGUAAUGCAGUAAAAGAUGGUUGCGUUUAUAAUGUUGACGCAAACUUGUGGGAGAAUAUGCCCAAGGGAAUGCUUGCGGGAUGGAAUGGACCGGCAGCGCCGAUGGAUGAAGAGGUGAUAUAUGUAGUGGAUGAGGUGAAGGGAGCUUUGAGUGAAUAUGAUAGUGAAAGGGAUUGUUGGAAGAAGGUGAUUGAGUUGCCUGAGCUUAAAAUGGCAGAGCAGAUAGCUGCUGGGAGAGGAAGAGUUUGCGUGGUUUGUGGCAAUGGAGAAAAAAUUGUGGUGGUGGAUGUGAUGGCUACACCAGCAAGAGUUUGGGUGGUUGAGCCGCCACCUGGACAGCAAGUAGUUUCUGUUCAUAUAUUGCCAAGAAUGAGCAAGCGUGCGUGACUACCCUUAAACAACUCAUGUGUGUGAUUAGCCGCUGUGUUUUGCGUAUGUUAUAAAUUUGUCUCUUUUUUCAAUUGAAAGCUUUUAAAUAAAAUGAGACUUUGGUUUGAAAU